GAGAUAUGGGCUCACUGUCUGGCCCACACAAGGGAGGGUUCUUGGAACUUUUAAACCCAUUAGUGACAGGCUCUGUUUGUUAGAAGUGGCUCUGCACCCCAUCAGCCUGUGUCCUCAAGCAGGAGACUGCAGCACUGUACUGUAAAGUCAUGAUUCUCUGCCCCCGAUUUCCUAACGUCAGGAAAGAGACAGAGAUUGACACAAACUGCCAUCAGUUUGGAGAGAUAUAUGUGCAUGCAGUGUGUGUGUGUGUGUGUGUGUGUGUGUAUGUGUGUGUGUGUGUGUGUGUGUGUGUGUGUGUGUGUGUUUAAAAGGAGAUGUUCAAAAUUUGAUGUGCUAAAAGUCUCCGUGGAAGAACAAAGGAGAGGAAGCCUUUCUAGGUUUGUGCUUCCAGAUGUGCUCCAUGCUUUUCCAUGUACCUCCGGUCUCUGUGGAGCUUGUGAAUCAUACCAUCGCUGCCCAGCCUAAAAGAACCAGUUCCUGCUGCACUCCUGCUUCCUGCCACUUCCACUGAAGUGGGUGGAAAGGAAACGAUGGAACAGAACACUUAGCUUUGAACAGGAUCCUCGUCACAAACGAGUCCCAUCUUUACCCAGCUUCUACAGUCAGGCCCACCCCAGAAAGCAGAGUUUUCAGUACGGAAACCCAGCCACCUUCAGCCUAGCACAGACAGCCCCAUUUGAACCAAAAAUAGCAGGGUGAACUACGUUGAGGGAAUGCAACAUUAAAAGAACUUGAAAGUAACUUCUCUGGCAAAUAAGACUUUGAUUAAAUCUUUUCUCAAAAGAAAAAGAUAAAUGUAUAAAUUUUAGUUCCGGUAUUUUUUUUAUUCAUGCGAGUUUAAAUAACACUGUUCACCACCCAAAAUUACAAAAAUGACGGGCCCUCGAGGGAGCAUCUGUAAAAUAUCAUCAAGAACGAAGAUCUCCAGGCUUGAUGUUGCAAAGCUUCGUCCCUCAGACCUUGUAAUAUAAGGCCGUUCCUCUCCCAGGGCCACCAUCACUACAUUUACAUUUCUAUGGGGGAUUAUUUAAUGAAAAACAUGUUACGGUUUAGGCUGAAGGCCUAUUCUGGAUAGUUCUGCUUUGGGGAAAAAUGUUAUCAUUUAAUUUCCUUUCUGUAAGUUAAAACUAAUGAAGUGUGGUCCUGUCAGAGCAGACAGAGAUGCUCCGGGCAUGCCGAUUGGGUGUUCUUGCUUAUGCAGACCUGGCACUCCUGGUCUUGAGAGACAAAACGGCCUGAAGCCGAUGCUGUAUCUCCCAUUAGCCUGACUUUGCCUCACAUGAACCAAAGACUUCAAACUCCAUAUCGUAGAGAGCAUUCUGCUGUCGAAGGUGUGAAGGCUGCCACUGUACCUGCUGUGUGCGUGUGUGUGUCCGUGCCUGCCUGCGUGCGUGCGUGCAUGCGUGCGAGUGAGGUGUUUACAGACUCAGCAUCCCGAGAUUUCCGGGAGCUUCACAAGUCUCCUAACUUUACUGCCUCGUAGUCUUGAGGUGCAGCCACCUAAUCCCGAAUCCGCCUUUGCUGCAGAGCAGGUUACACAGUAUAAACCUGCUUACCCCAGUAUAAACCUGUUCACAAAUCUACCCCUGGGUGCUGGAAGGCGCACAGAGCAAAAGCUGGGUUUCACAUGGCUCAGCUAAAGCCAUGAGGGAGUCCGUACAGGGAGAACUGUGUCCUGUGGAUCUCACCGCGGAAUGAUGGGACCCAGCGUGGAAGCAGUGUCAAGUCGGAGGCUUGGACAAAUACACACCCGGUGAGGGAUGACAGACUCUGGGGCUCCCCUAUACCUAGCACUCAGUGUGGUAGUCCCCUGUUCUCUCUCGCCUGACACUUCCGGAAUGCAAGAGCAGAAUCUUGGGGGCUUUGCUAUCCUGACGUGCCAGAAAUGGGACAUUCUCAUUCCUGGUUCAUCUCUAUGCAUCUUUGAAAUAAACCAAAAUGUAAACCUUGCUACUUUUUUUUUUUCAAAGAAUCAUCUCUGAAAAGAAUUACUGUAAACCAAUGCCUAUAGUCAUUCUACCAAAAUAAACAGGAUUUUCACUGUG
This 2048-nucleotide long non-coding RNA is filed under the name Rattus norvegicus (Norway rat). RNAcentral describes it as "long non-coding RNA NONRATT006897". The record is from RNAcentral. Lineage: Eukaryota; Metazoa; Chordata; Mammalia; Rodentia; Muridae.